AACGCGAAGAACCUUACCUAAGCUUGACAUCCUUUUGACCGAUGCCUAAUCGCAUCUUUCCCUUCGGGGACAGAAGUGACAGGUGGUGCAUGGUUGUCGUCAGCUCGUGUCGUGAGAUGUUGGGUUAAGUCCCGCAACGAGCGCAACCCUUGCCUUUAGUUGCCAGCAUUAAGUUGGGCACUCUAGAGGGACUGCCAGGGAUAACCUGGAGGAAGGUGGGGAUGACGUCAAAUCAUCAUGCCCCUUAUGCUUAGGGCUACACACGUGCUACAAUGGGUGGUACAGAGGGCAGCCAAGUCGUGAGGCGGAGCUAACCCCUUAAAGCCAUUCUCAGUUCGGAUUGUAGGCUGAAACUCGCCUACAUGAAGCUGGAGUUACUAGUAAUCGCAGAUCAGAAUGCUGCGGUGAAUGCGUUCCCGGGUCUUGUACACACCG
RNAcentral lists this ribosomal RNA (435 nucleotides) under uncultured bacterium. RNAcentral describes it as "bacterial SSU rRNA". It matches the Rfam family "Bacterial small subunit ribosomal RNA", at positions 958 to 1392 of the family's 1533-position model. The record is from RNAcentral.